GUAGGUGGCAAGCGUUGUCCGGAAUUAUUGGGGCGUAAAGCGCGCGCAGGCGGUUCUUUGAGUCUGAUGUGAAAGCCCACGGGCUCAACCGUGGAGGGUCAUUGGAAACUGGAGAACUUGAGUACAGAAGAGGAAAGCGGAAUUCCACGUGUAGCGGUGAAAUGCGUAGAGAUGUGGAGGAACACCAGUGGCGAAGGCGGCUUUCUGGUCUGUAACUGACGCUGAGGCGCGAAAGCGUGGGGAGCAAACAGGAUUAGAUACCCAGGUAGUCCACGCCGUAAACGAUGAGUGCUAAGUGUUAGGGGGUUUCCGCCCCUUAGUGCUGCAGCUAACGCAUUAAGCACUCCGCCUGGGGAGUACGGCCGCAAAGGCUG
RNAcentral lists this ribosomal RNA (374 nucleotides) under uncultured organism. RNAcentral describes it as "partial 16S ribosomal RNA". It matches the Rfam family "Bacterial small subunit ribosomal RNA", at positions 527 to 896 of the family's 1533-position model. The record is from RNAcentral.